AUCAAGUUAUAUAACAAUAUGUCAUUCAGGCUCUUCCAGGCCCAAGGAUUUAAUGUCUUCAAUGGUUAUGGGAGAAUUAAGAUUUUCUACUUCUGUUGAAUUUGAAACCCAAUUUUGAAGUGUCCAGUUCCAUACAACAUGCCAUGAUCAGGCUGUUUCUCUUAACCUUGGAUAGUCAAUGUCCAGGUUCCCUUUCCACUAUCAGCAGCCAAGUGAGCCAG
Long non-coding RNA from Choloepus didactylus (southern two-toed sloth), 221 nucleotides. RefSeq lists it as uncharacterized. The transcript is spliced from 3 exons. The record is from RefSeq and is a predicted model, not a curated record. Lineage: Eukaryota; Metazoa; Chordata; Mammalia; Pilosa; Megalonychidae.